UCCAGGAGUGGUGGCACGUGACUGUAGUUCCAGCUACUCAGGAGGCUGAGGCUGGGAGGAUCGCUUGAGCCCAGGAGUUCUGGGCUGUAGUGUGCUAUGCCUGUCAGGUGUCCGCACUAAAUUUGGCAUCAAUAUGGUGACCUCUCAGAGGCAGGGAACUAGCAGGUUGCCUAAGGAGGGGUGACCUAGCCUAGGUCAGAAACAGAGCAGGUCAAAAUUCCCAUGCUGAUCUGUAGUGGGAUUGUGCCUAUAGAUAGCCACUGAACUUCAGCCUGAGCAACAUAGCAAGACCAUAUCUCU
RNAcentral lists this signal recognition particle RNA (300 nucleotides) under Microcebus murinus (gray mouse lemur). Its description in RNAcentral is "Metazoan signal recognition particle RNA (ENSMICG00000042961.1)". It matches the Rfam family "Metazoan signal recognition particle RNA". Rfam says of the family: The signal recognition particle (SRP) is a universally conserved ribonucleoprotein. Lineage: Eukaryota; Metazoa; Chordata; Mammalia; Primates; Cheirogaleidae. The record is from RNAcentral.